Ipomoea nil (Japanese morning glory) is the source of this 945-nucleotide long non-coding RNA. RefSeq lists it as uncharacterized. Lineage: Eukaryota; Viridiplantae; Streptophyta; Magnoliopsida; Solanales; Convolvulaceae. The transcript has 8 exons. The record is from RefSeq and is a predicted model, not a curated record.
UAGGAUCUUUUUUACUAUAAACAUGAUUAUGUAAUUAUGAUCUGUUUAUUGAUGUUUUGUUGGAUUUAAUUGUGCAUUACUUGCCUUUGGAGCAAUCUGUUAACUGUACCAGCUGCAGGAAGAUCAUUGGAGCAGUCUCCUGUCUGUUAAAGAUUCUCAACAAGUCAAUUCAGUUGUCAAUUAGUCCUGAUUGGGUUGGGGCUGGCAAUGGUGAUGGGCUUAGCUAUCUACUUGCUUCUUUGGACAAUCGAAUACCGCAUCACUACUGACGAGACCGAACUAAUCAGACUAAUCUGAAUGUGCACUACGCCAUUUAUCAAUUGAAUUUCAACUAUAGAUUUGGCAUUCGAGUCUAGGAAGAGUGAAACACCAUAGCGAUAGGAAACAAUAUGAUCUUGCUAAUAUUGGAGGAGUAGAUUUGAUGAGGAGGCAGGAAAGGAGCUACUUGAGAUAUUAAAUAUGCUUUGCUGAUGGGUUGAGGAUCCUAAUUCAGAGGCCUUCAAAUUGCAUUUGCCAAGAAUCUAUGAUUAUAUCUGGGUUGCUGAAGAUGGCAUGAAAAUGCAGGGAUAUAAUGACAGCCAAUCAUGGGACACUGCAUUUGUUGUCCAAGCAAUCAUAGAAGAACUAUCAUCAUAUCUGGCUAGCAAAUUUUGUAGCCGGAGGUGAACGAUGUUCGGCCUUCCAGUUGGUGGGGGCUUGUAGAGAAAUCCUGGGGCAUUUCACAGAAGUAUUCCCACGUGCUUCCAUUUUACUCGAAUUUUGAUCAGAAGAAGCUGCAAUUGCAAUUGCAGAAGGAGAAGAUAGGAGAUGAUGAAACUCACUUAUGUACUUCAUUCUCAACUUAGUAAUUAGCACUAUUGUGAUAAUAAUGCAUACUGUAUUGAUCUUUAUAAAAUUUUCUGAGCCAUUUGUGGUUAAUGAUUGUUCAGAUCAAACUUCUAGCAA